RNAcentral lists this ribosomal RNA (460 nucleotides) under uncultured bacterium. RNAcentral's name for it is "partial 16S ribosomal RNA". It matches the Rfam family "Bacterial small subunit ribosomal RNA", at positions 338 to 795 of the family's 1533-position model. The record is from RNAcentral.
CCUACGGGAGGCAGCAGUGAGGAAUAUUGGUCAAUGGACGAGAGUCUGAACCAGCCAAGUAGCGUGAAGGAUGACUGCCCUAUGGGUUGUAAACUUCUUUUACAUGGGAAUAAAACGUUCCACGUGUGGGAUUUUGUAUGUACCAUAUGAAUAAGGAUCGGCUAACUCCGUGCCAGCAGCCGCGGUAAUACGGAGGAUCCGAGCGUUAUCCGGAUUUAUUGGGUUUAAAGGGAGCGUAGGUGGAUUGUUAAGUCAGUUGUGAAAGUUUGCGGCUCAACCGUAAAAUUGCAGUUGAAACUGGCAGUCUUGAGUACAGUAGAGGUGGGCGGAAUUCGUGGUGUAGCGGUGAAAUGCUUAGAUAUCACGAAGAACUCCGAUUGCGAAGGCAGUUCACUGGACUGCAACUGACACUGAGGCUCGAAAGUGUGGGUAUCAAACAGGAUUAGAUACCCCUGUAGUC